AUCCAGCCGACGAGUCCCAAAUAGGACGAAAUGCACAUCCUGGAU
Molecule: non-coding RNA, 45 nt
Filed under: Trichobilharzia regenti
Lineage: Eukaryota; Metazoa; Platyhelminthes; Trematoda; Strigeidida; Schistosomatidae
Source: RNAcentral